CCUUCAUCUCCGCACACCUGUUGACAUGACGACUGCUACUGACCCCGCCCCGCUGGCUCUAUAAUUGACCGCGUGACCUCCGAGGGCAGAGUUCGUUCACCUGGAAACAAGCCACAGUAAGCUCGGCAUCAAAUGUGAGGCCGACACCCGGCUCACCUCAGCUCGGCCCAGAGACUGAAGCAGCUACACACCCUGGAGCAACACGUCCUCUGUCCCAGAUAAACGCCCGAUGUUUCACGGCUGACGGGCCAAGCAGCAGCAUGGCAGACCCUCUUCCUAGAACUCAGUGUUUUUACAUGAUACAUUUGAUACAUUUUCAAUUCCCAGCUUUCCCCUAGUAUAACUCGGACUGUAAGUCUUUCCUAGACUCACUUUCUGUUUACGUUUUUCAACUUAUUGUUUCUUAGUGUCUCUCUUAUUGAUUAUUGGCAAUUACAAGACAGCAGUUAAUGACAAGUUUUAAUUACAGGACAUCAACCCCACUCAUAACCAGCUAUUUCUAGAACCUCCUUUCAUGUAUCUGGAGAGAGUAAGUCAUUCACAAUUAUUCUUUCCAUGUCUGAUGAUAUACUUCAUCCCCCUGUCCGAGCAUACUGAAUAACCAAAACUGUUUAAAAAAGCAUUUCCUGUGGUACCAAAAGAGGAUCCAAAUAUCCUUUUUUUUUUUUUUUUGCUUGUGUUGUCUCCGAGUUUAAAAUUCAGUUAUUGUGAACAGCCUUAUAAUGUAUGUGAUAUGUAUCAUCUAUACUACUGCAUUUUUCCCCUUGGUAUGUCAGGCCCUGGUGUAUUGUGUCCUUAAUUGUUAGUGGGAUGGUUUGCCAUGUCCUCAGUAAACCCUCUGAAAUACAGUAAACCAUAAACCGACAUAAAAUCCUGCGUGUUAACUGCAUGGGGCAAUUUUGGCACUUGACAAAUGACAGGAAAAUGAUAGACAACGGCAAAAACAUUGUGACCUAGCCUGAAACUCUGAUUGUAUGUGCAUGUAAUAUGCAUCACAAAUCGUUAAAAUCUUUGACAAUGAGCUUUUUGAGUUGUUCACAUGGAAAAAUGCUGUUUCUUUUGAGAAAACUGACCUUGAAAUGUU
Molecule: long non-coding RNA, 1084 nt
Organism: Acanthopagrus latus (yellowfin seabream)
Lineage: Eukaryota; Metazoa; Chordata; Actinopteri; Spariformes; Sparidae
Exons: 2
Source: RefSeq, a predicted model, not a curated record